GGUUGAUCCUGCCAGUAGUCAUAUGCUUGUCUUAAAGACUAAGCCAUGCAUGUCUAAGUAUAAAUAUUAUACAGUGAAACUGCGAAUGGCUCAUUAAAACAGUUAUAGUUUAUUCGAUAAUUUCUCCUACAUGGAUAACCGUAGUAAUUCUAGAGCUAAUACAUGCUGUCAAACCUGACUUCUUGGAAGGGUUGUAUUUAUUAGAUAUCUUAUUUACAACUGGCUGAUUGACAUGAUAGUCUUCUUUUAUCCCUUUUGUUUAAUAUGAGAUUAUAACAGAUAUUCCACCUU
Molecule: ribosomal RNA, 291 nt
Filed under: uncultured eukaryote
Lineage: Eukaryota
Description: partial 18S ribosomal RNA
Rfam family: Eukaryotic small subunit ribosomal RNA
Source: RNAcentral